Molecule: ribosomal RNA, 872 nt
Filed under: uncultured bacterium
Lineage: Bacteria
Description: bacterial SSU rRNA
Rfam family: Bacterial small subunit ribosomal RNA
Source: RNAcentral
AUUGAACGCUGGCGGAAUGCUUUACACAUGCAAGUCGAACGGCAGCACGGACUUCGGUCUGGUGGCGAGUGGCGAACGGGUGAGUAAUAUAUCGGAACGUAUCCAAUAAUGGGGGAUAACUAAUCGAAAGGUUGGCUAAUACCGCAUACGCCCUACGGGGGAAAGCUAGGGACCUUCGGGCCUGGCGUUAAUGGAGCGGCUGAUAUCUGAUUAGCUAGUAGGUGAGGUAAAGGCUCACCUAGGCGACGAUCAGUAGCUGGUCUGAGAGGACGACCAGCCACACUGGAACUGAGACACGGUCCAGACUCCUACGGGAGGCAGCAGUGGGGAAUUUUGGACAAUGGGCGAAAGCCUGAUCCAGCCAUUCCGCGUGAGUGAAGAAGGCCUUCGGGUUGUAAAGCUCUUUCGCAAGGGAAGAAAACUUAGGCGCUAAUAUCGCUUGAGGUUGACGGUACCUUGAUAAGAAGCACCGGCUAACUACGUGCCAGCAGCCGCGGUAAUACGUAGGGUGCGAGCGUUAAUCGGAAUUACUGGGCGUAAAGCGUGCGCAGGCGGUUUUGUAAGUCAGAUGUGAAAUCCCCGAGCUCAACUUGGGAACUGCGUUUGAAACUAUAAGACUAGAAUAUGUCAGAGGGGGGUAGAAUUCCACGUGUAGCAGUGAAAUGCGUAGAGAUGUGGAGGAAUACCAAUGGCGAAGGCAGCCUCCUGGGAUAAUACUGACGCUCAUGCACGAAAGCGUGGGGAGCAAACAGGAUUAGAUACCCUGGUAGUCCACGCCCUAAACGAUGUCAACUAGUUGUUGGGGCCUUCGGGCCUUAGUAACGCAGCUAACGCGUGAAGUUGACCGCCUGGGGAGUACGGUCGCAAGAUUA